AGUGAACGCUGGCGGUAGGCUUAACACAUGCAAGUCGAACGAGUGGCGGAGGGGUGAGGAAUACAACGGAAUCUACUCUGUGGAGGGGGAUAACGUAGGGAAACUUACGCUAAUACCGCAUACGAUCGAAUGAGCCGGUGUCGGAGUAGCUAGUGGGCGGGGUAAAGGCCCACCAAGGCGACGAUCCGUAGCUGGACUGAGAGGAUGAUCAGCCGACCUGGAACUGAGACACGGUCCAGACUCCUACGGGAGGCAGCAGUUGGGAAUAUUGGACAAUGGGCGCAAGCCUGAUCCAGCCAUACCGCGUGGGUGAAGAAGGCCUUCGGGUUGUAAAGCCCUUUUGUUGGGAAAGCGGUACCCAAAGAAUAAGCACCGGCUAACUUCGUGCCAGCAGCCGCGGUAAUAC
Molecule: ribosomal RNA, 406 nt
Filed under: uncultured bacterium
Lineage: Bacteria
Description: partial 16S ribosomal RNA
Rfam family: Bacterial small subunit ribosomal RNA
Source: RNAcentral